GACGAACGCUGGCGGCGUGCUUAACACAUGCAAGUCGAACGGAAAGGCCCUGCUUUUGUGGGGUGCUCGAGUGGCGAAAGGGUGAGUAACACGUGAGUAACCUGCCCUUGACUUUGGGAUAACUUCAGGAAACUGGGGCUAAUACCGGAUAGGAGCUCCUGCUGCAUGGUGGGGGUUGGAAAGUUUCGGCGGUUGGGGAUGGACUCGCGGCUUAUCAGCUUGUUGGUGGGGUAGUGGCUUACCAAGGCUUUGACGGGUAGCCGGACUGAGAGGGUGACCGGCCACAUUGGGACUGAGAUACGGCCCAGACUCCUACGGGAGGCAGCAGUGGGGAAUAUUGCACAAUGGGCGGAAGCCUGAUGCAGCAACGCCGCGUGCGGGAUGACGGCCUUCGGGUUGUAAACCGCUUUCGCCUGUGACGAAGCGUGAGUGACGGUAAUGGGUAAAGAAGCACCGGCUAACUACGUG
Molecule: ribosomal RNA, 468 nt
Filed under: uncultured bacterium
Lineage: Bacteria
Description: partial 16S ribosomal RNA
Rfam family: Bacterial small subunit ribosomal RNA
Source: RNAcentral